CACUAGCUUGCCCAGAGUUACUCAGCUAAUAAGCAGCUGAGCUGGGACUCCCACUCAGCAAUGCAGCUCCAGGCCUGGCUGCUAACCCCUUCUUCCUUCUUGGCAGCUGCCUUCACAGAGGAAUUCAAGAGCCAAAAGAAGUCCAACAAUGCCAGCAAAACCAGUAACACCAAGUCUUGGAAAAAAUCCGGGAGGUGCAUUUUGGAGAUAUUCAUAGCUGAAACCCCCACUGAACCAAGCUCUGCAUCUUGGGCUUUGUUUCCACAGAAGUGAAAACAGCCACCGUCAAAAAGAGCAGCAGUUGAAGGGCAAGUGUCUGCCAGCACUAUCUCUUGGGAAUGGAGAGAAAGAGCUGCCAAAACAGGAGAUACGUCUGACAUCCAGACAGCGUUAGCCGACUGGUUCCCAAGUAGGAGUUGGCUGUCCACAGAGAUGCCCUGUGUAGGUGAUAUGAAUCACAAAUACGCUCUGCCUUGAUUAAUCUCUAACAGUCAGAAAGUCGAAAGCUUCUUGUCAUCAUGUUCAAGCUUAGGAGUUUGGUUUUCCGUGGGCAGCUGGCUCUAGGAGGAUAUCACACGACUGUCUCAGGGUCCCCGAGGGAUGUUGUAAAAGCUGUCUGUAUGUGGGUCCCUGAAUUUGAGGUCGUGGGUGUGGAAGGUGAUGCACCAGGGAGUUGGCUCUUAGCUUACUGGGUCAGAUGUUUCUGAGAACCUUCUUCACCAGAGUUUACAGUUCAGUUUCAGAGGUGAAUGAGCCGUUUCAGAUGAUCAAAAAGAUAUGCUCUCUCAUAUCUCCCAGAGAAUAAUCUUUCCUUCCUCAGUUACUUUGAAACUGAAGUUUGCUGCCAGCGUAGGAGCCAAUCCAUUAUAUCAUAAUCAAUGACAUGAAUGUUUUGCUCAAGUUCAG
RNAcentral lists this long non-coding RNA (906 nucleotides) under Canis lupus familiaris (dog). RNAcentral describes it as "lncRNA (ENSCAFG00845009453.1)". The record is from RNAcentral. Lineage: Eukaryota; Metazoa; Chordata; Mammalia; Carnivora; Canidae.